This is a long non-coding RNA of Passer montanus (Eurasian tree sparrow), 396 nucleotides long. RefSeq lists it as uncharacterized. NCBI's taxonomy places the organism in Eukaryota, Metazoa, Chordata, Aves, Passeriformes, Passeridae. The record is from RefSeq and is a predicted model, not a curated record. The transcript is spliced from 3 exons.
GUUUCUGCCGACCAUGGUUUGCAGAGAGGAAGAAGGUGACUCCAUGAGGGGAAAAAAACCAAACAAUGUGUGCCAAGUCAUGAGAAAGAAGAUUUCAUUAGAUGUGGGAAACUCUGAAGAUGAUGAAAAAUGUGGUGCUGCUAAUGCCUUCUGCUCCUCGUGCUAAAGAAACUGUGGGCAGUGCUGUGGGAGCUGCUUUGAUGUCAUUGCACAUUGCUUUUACACACACAUCAAAAAUGCAAAAGCACAGCUUGUUUACUAUUGCUUGACAAAGGGACAAGUACACUUAAAUCAAAGAACUUGCCAAUACCAACAUCUGAGCAUGUAGGCUCCAUUAUUAGACAGAUCUUUGGGGGCUUUAAAACAUGGUGCCAUGUAACAAAAUCCUCAGAUGCC